UAACAUGAGGACAUUCUGGCAGUGACAUCUGUCACCCCAGUGAACACUAGGUUUGAUGCAGUUGAUACGGCUGACUGGGUGAGCAACUCCUUUCUUCAUCGCUCCAUGUGCCUCCCUCCUGAAGCUGAUUUGUUGAACAGGAUGUCCACUGCCAGGCAAUUUUAUCUUACUGAUUUCUUUAUAAAUGUCAAGAAGAAAGUUGGCUUU
This 207-nucleotide small nuclear RNA is filed under the name Notamacropus eugenii (tammar wallaby). Its description in RNAcentral is "7SK RNA (ENSMEUG00000018257.1)". The stretch from base 1 to 172 matches the Rfam family "7SK RNA". Rfam says of the family: 7SK was discovered as an abundant small nuclear RNA in the mid-70s but a possible function has only recently been suggested. Two independent studies have found that 7SK RNA binds the CDK9/cyclin T complex (known as elongation factor P-TEFb). The record is from RNAcentral. Lineage: Eukaryota; Metazoa; Chordata; Mammalia; Diprotodontia; Macropodidae.